This 30-nucleotide non-coding RNA is filed under the name Mus musculus (house mouse). Lineage: Eukaryota; Metazoa; Chordata; Mammalia; Rodentia; Muridae. The record is from RNAcentral.
UGAGUCGGCGAUUCUGCCAGAAUAAGGUGU